RNAcentral lists this unclassified non-coding RNA (90 nucleotides) under Prunus glandulosa (dwarf flowering almond). RNAcentral's name for it is "partial internal transcibed spacer 2". Lineage: Eukaryota; Viridiplantae; Streptophyta; Magnoliopsida; Rosales; Rosaceae. The record is from RNAcentral.
CCCAUCUACUCCUUCGGGAUUGCGGGGGGCGGAUGAUGGCCUCCCGUGCGCCUCGUCGCGCGGUUGGCAUAAAUGCCAAGUCCUCGGCGA